Molecule: ribosomal RNA, 497 nt
Filed under: uncultured bacterium
Lineage: Bacteria
Description: partial 16S ribosomal RNA
Rfam family: Bacterial small subunit ribosomal RNA
Source: RNAcentral
GAUGAACGCUGGCGGCGUGCCUAAUACAUGCCAGUCGAGCGAACAGACGAGGAGCUUGCUCCUCUGACGUUAGCGGCGGACGGGUGAGUAACACGUGGAUAACCUACCUAUAAGACUGGGAUAACUUCGGGAAACCGGAGCUAAUACCGGAUAAUAUAUUGAACCGCAUGGUUCAAUAGUGAAAGACGGUUUUGCUGUCACUUAUAGAUGGAUCCGCGCCGCAUUAGCUAGUUGGUAAGGUAACGGCUUACCAAGGCAACGAUGCGUAGCCGACCUGAGAGGGUGAUCGACCACACUGGAACUGAGACACGGUCCAGACUCCUACGGGAGGCAGCAGUAGGGAAUCUUCCGCAAUGGGCGAAAGCCUGACGGAGCAGCGCCGCGUGAGUGAUGAAGGUCUUCGGAUCGUAAAACUCUGUUAUUAGGGAAGAACAAAUGUGUAAGUAACUAUGCACGUCUUGACGGUACCUAAUCAGAAAGCCACGGCUAACUACGUG